Molecule: ribosomal RNA, 500 nt
Filed under: uncultured bacterium
Lineage: Bacteria
Description: partial 16S ribosomal RNA
Rfam family: Bacterial small subunit ribosomal RNA
Source: RNAcentral
AUUGAACGCUGGCGGCAUGCCUUACACAUGCAAGUCGAACGGCAGCACGGAGCUUGCUCUGGUGGCGAGUGGCGAACGGGUGAGUAAUAUAUCGGAACGUACCCUGGAGUGGGGGAUAACGUAGCGAAAGUUACGCUAAUACCGCAUACGAUCUAAGGAUGAAAGUGGGGGCUCGCAAGACCUCAUGCUCCUGGAGCGGCCGAUAUCUGAUUAGCUAGGUGGUGGGGUAAAGGACCAACAAGGCAUGGAUCAGUAGCUGGUCUGAGAGGACGACCAGCCACACUGGAACUGAGACACGGCCCAGACUCCUACGGGAGGCAGCAGUGGGGAAUUUUGGACAAUGGGGGCAACCCUGAUCCAGCAAUGCCGCGUGAGUGAAGAAGGCCUUCGGGUUGUAAAGCUCUUUUGUCAGGGAAGAAAAGGCUGCAGCUAAUAUCUGCGGCUCAUGACGGUACCUGAAGAAUAAGCACCGGCUAACUACGUGCCAGCAGCCGCGGUAA